AUUGAACGCUGGCGGAAUGCUUUACACAUGCAAGUCGAGCGGCAGCGCGGGGCAACCUGGCGGCGAGCGGCGAACGGGUGAGUAAUGCAUCGGAACAUGUCCAUGUCGUGGGGGAUAGCCCGGCGAAAGCCGGAUUAAUACCGCAUACGCCCGAGAGGGGAAAGGUGGGGACCGCAAGGCCUCACGCGAUUGGGUUGGCCGAUGUCCGAUUAGCUAGUUGGCGGGGUAAAAGCCCACCAAGGCGACGAUCGGUAGCUGGUCUGAGAGGACGACCAGCCACACUGGGACUGAGACACGGCCCAGACUCCUACGGGAGGCAGCAGUGGGGAAUUUUGGACAAUGGGGGCAACCCUGAUCCAGCCAUGCCGCGUGUGUGAAGAAGGCC
Molecule: ribosomal RNA, 385 nt
Filed under: uncultured bacterium
Lineage: Bacteria
Description: bacterial SSU rRNA
Rfam family: Bacterial small subunit ribosomal RNA
Source: RNAcentral